UUAUGGUGUGCCAGGGAUUGA
Molecule: non-coding RNA, 21 nt
Filed under: Rattus norvegicus (Norway rat)
Lineage: Eukaryota; Metazoa; Chordata; Mammalia; Rodentia; Muridae
Source: RNAcentral